This is a non-coding RNA of Stegostoma tigrinum, 164 nucleotides long. RefSeq annotates it as small Cajal body-specific RNA 1. The record is from RefSeq and is a predicted model, not a curated record. Lineage: Eukaryota; Metazoa; Chordata; Chondrichthyes; Orectolobiformes; Stegostomatidae. The transcript has a single exon.
AUGCACCAGAUACUAACCUGGCUGUCAUUGUCGCAGUUUUAACAUAGAACUGAGACAAUCCAUGAUUGUUGGGUCCAAGUGGUGCUAAAUCAAAAUUUGAAAAACCUUGAGCAUGUUAGCUUAGUGUGCAGAGGAACACUGAGUUAUAACUCAGAGGUACAGCA